This 422-nucleotide ribosomal RNA is filed under the name uncultured bacterium. RNAcentral describes it as "bacterial SSU rRNA". It matches the Rfam family "Bacterial small subunit ribosomal RNA", at positions 360 to 773 of the family's 1533-position model. The record is from RNAcentral.
AAUUUUGGGCAAUGGGCGAAAGCCUGACCCAGCAACGCCGCGUGAGGGAUGAAGGCCCUCGGGUCGUAAACCUCUGUCGGGAGGGAAGAAUGGUUGCCGUUCGAACAGGGCGGGAACCUGACGGUACCUCCAAAGGAAGCACCGGCUAACUCCGUGCCAGCAGCCGCGGUAAUACGGGGGGGGCAAGCGUUGUUCGGAAUUACUGGGCGUAAAGGGCUCGUAGGCGGCCAACUAAGUCAGACGUGAAAUCCCCAGGCUUAACCUGGGAACUGCGUCUGAUACUGGAUGGCUUGAAUUCGGGAGAGGGAUGCAGAAUUCCAGGUGUAGCGGUGAAAUGCGUAGAUAUCUGGAGGAAUACCGGUGGCGAAGGCGGCAUCCUGGACCGACAUUGACGCUGAGGAGCGAAAGCUAGGGGAGCAAAC